Molecule: ribosomal RNA, 459 nt
Filed under: uncultured bacterium
Lineage: Bacteria
Description: partial 16S ribosomal RNA
Rfam family: Bacterial small subunit ribosomal RNA
Source: RNAcentral
CCUACGGGGGACAGCAGUGAGGAAUAUUGGUCAAUGGCCGGAAGGCUGAACCAGCCAUGCCGCGUGAAGGUCAGUGCCCUAUGGGCGUUAAACUUCUUUUGUGCGGGAGCAAUAAUGGUCACGUGUGGCCAGACGAGAGUACCGUACGAAUAAGCAUCGGCUAACUCCGUGCCAGCAGCCGCGGUAAUACGGGGGAUGCAAGCGUUAUCCGGAUUUAUUGGGUUUAAAGGGUGCGUAGGCUGUGAGGUAAGUCAGCGGUGAAAUGCCGGGGCUCAACCCCGGAACUGCCAUUAUGACUAUGUAUCUAGAGUAAUGGAGAGGAUAGCGGAAUACCCAGUGUAGAGGUGAAAUUCGUAGAUAUUGGGUAGAACACCGGUGGCGAAGGCGGCUAUCUGGCCAUUUACUGACGCUGAGGCUCGAAAGCAUGGGGAUCAAACAGGAUUAGAUACCCUUGUAGUC